Molecule: ribosomal RNA, 292 nt
Filed under: uncultured bacterium
Lineage: Bacteria
Description: partial 16S ribosomal RNA
Rfam family: Bacterial small subunit ribosomal RNA
Source: RNAcentral
GGACGAACGCUGGCGGCGUGCUUAACACAUGCAAGUCGAGCGGUAAGGCCUUUCGGGUACACGAGCGGCGAACGGGUGAGUAACACGUGAGUGAUCUGCCCUCAACUUCGGGAUAAGCUUCGGAAACGGGGCCUAAUACCGGAUAUGAUGUCCUGCUUCAUGGUGGGGUGUUGAAAGUUUUGGCGGUUGGGGAUGGGCUCGCGGCCUAUCAGCUUGUUGGUGGGGUAAUGGCCUACAAGGCGCGACGGGUAGCCGGCCUGAGAGGGCGACCGGCCACACUGGGACUGAGACA